CAUUGCUGGCACAGUCUUAAAUACGAGGGUCUUCCUCUGCUGCAACUCAUGCAGGCACUACAUCAAGAGCUGCAGCAGAGGAAGACCGUCACAUUCCUGUCUGCAUAGUGUUCUCUGAAAAACUGAAGAGUACGCCAGGGACAUGGCUGGCAGCAGCCUUACACAGUUGGAUAAGAGUGAUUUAGAUGUCAAGGACUCAACUGCUAUGAGCUUUUCAUGCCAAAUGAAGCACAACUUGUGUUGUGAGGUCAGUUUUGCUCAAGCAGCAGGGCACUGGAGGCGUUGUGUACUGUCCCCUGCUCUGCUGGCAGCCUUUGGCCACCUCUUCACUUGGAGGCUGUGUUUUCCUCCAGAGCUAGCUGCAUGAGUUGUCAUAGCAACUCAUUGCUUGCUAACAGGCUCCUGCCCUGUUUGUUGGCUCUCCUAGGCCUAGCGCAUUUAUGAGCAGCUCUGUGGGGAUGAGGAUGAGGCAGAACAAGGUGUGCACCACAACACAAACAUGGUUACACAGAAGCAGCAGGAGAAGCUGUUCCUCAAGCUGGCUCAGACGAAAUCAUCUCCGGAGGAGUCUUGCAGGAGUUACCAGCAGAGAGUUACCACAGUGGAGAAGAUCCGGGAAGAAUGGCAGAA
This is a long non-coding RNA of Neopsephotus bourkii (Bourke's parrot), 630 nucleotides long. RefSeq lists it as uncharacterized. Lineage: Eukaryota; Metazoa; Chordata; Aves; Psittaciformes; Psittacidae. The record is from RefSeq and is a predicted model, not a curated record. The transcript has 3 exons.